AAGAUGGUCCCAUGCUUUGUGGGCCUCUCUUUGCUAUCUAUACAACGUUGGAAAUUCAGUGACACAUUCCAAAAAAAGGGAAUUAGGGAGGACCCAUGGCAUGGCUAAUGGGGAGAGAGCUUUACUACUUUUAGCGCUAUUGCUAAUUAUUGGAGCAAAGAAAGGCAUACAAGGAAUGGAACCCAACCUGUUUAAAGUAAUAAAUGUCAACCCUAAAGUGCAUGGAACCAUCUCUCCUUCCCUUUUGAGGACUGUGUGCUUCACAAGCUGGGCGUUUGCUGCAUGGGGUUUUCUAAUGUAAUGUGAAUUUUCAAUGUGCUUUGUCUCUGUAGAGUGGCUUUAAAAAGCCCUUGAAGUCCUCAGCUUUAAAUCCAUGCUAAUAGGGGAAGUCCAGCCUAAUGAUGCUUCCCAGAGUUGACUUUUCCUUCUUGCCAGCCUCGACUUCCCCAAGGCCUCACUCCUGCUUUCCGAGGUCACCUGUCUGAGGCUGCACACACACACACACACAGCCUUCCGGUU
Molecule: long non-coding RNA, 519 nt
Filed under: Pan troglodytes (chimpanzee)
Lineage: Eukaryota; Metazoa; Chordata; Mammalia; Primates; Hominidae
Description: long non-coding RNA NONPTRT009165
Source: RNAcentral